AGAGGCCUGAGGAGAAGCGGCAGGAGACCCCGAGCCCACCACCGUCGCCGGGAAACGGAAGACCGCGGAAGAGGAGCAUCUGCCUCCUGGUGCCUUGGGAUAACGAACCACUGGUGCUGCCCCCUGCACCUGACCCGGGCUACCCCAUCACAGAAGAGAUCAUCGAGGAGGAGAGGGAGGCAGCGUGGCAGCGGCUACGCCGGCUCUUGGGGCAUAAGGCUGAUGAGGUCCCCAGCACCAGUGAGGAAGAUGUGUCCCUGGGCACAGCCAUCGCCCAGGGCUCCUCUGGCAC
Long non-coding RNA from Strigops habroptila (Kakapo), 292 nucleotides. RefSeq lists it as uncharacterized. The transcript is spliced from 3 exons. The record is from RefSeq and is a predicted model, not a curated record. Lineage: Eukaryota; Metazoa; Chordata; Aves; Psittaciformes; Psittacidae.